This 271-nucleotide ribosomal RNA is filed under the name uncultured prokaryote. RNAcentral describes it as "partial 16S ribosomal RNA". It matches the Rfam family "Bacterial small subunit ribosomal RNA", at positions 524 to 794 of the family's 1533-position model. The record is from RNAcentral.
UACGUAGGUGGCGAGCGUUGUCCGGAUUUACUGGGCGUAAAGGGAGCGUAGGCGGACUUUUAAGUGAGAUGUGAAAUACCCGGGCUUAACUUGGGUGCUGCAUUUCAAACUGGAAGUCUAGAGUGCAGGAGAGGAGAAUGGAAUUCCUAGUGUAGCGGUGAAAUGCGUAGAGAUUAGGAAGAACACCAGUGGCGAAGGCGAUUCUCUGGACUGUAACUGACGCUGAGGCUCGAAAGCGUGGGGAGCAAACAGGAUUAGAUACCCCCGUAGU